This 522-nucleotide ribosomal RNA is filed under the name Haemophilus haemolyticus. RNAcentral describes it as "partial 23S ribosomal RNA". It matches the Rfam family "Bacterial large subunit ribosomal RNA", at positions 2417 to 2925 of the family's 2925-position model. The record is from RNAcentral. Lineage: Bacteria; Pseudomonadati; Pseudomonadota; Gammaproteobacteria; Pasteurellales; Pasteurellaceae.
GAUCCGGUGGUUCUGAAUGGAAGGGCCAUCGCUCAACGGAUAAAAGGUACUCCGGGGAUAACAGGCUGAUACCGCCCAAGAGUUCAUAUCGACGGCGGUGUUUGGCACCUCGAUGUCGGCUCAUCACAUCCUGGGGCUGAAGUAGGUCCCAAGGGUAUGGCUGUUCGCCAUUUAAAGUGGUACGCGAGCUGGGUUUAGAACGUCGUGAGACAGUUCGGUCCCUAUCUGCCGUGGGCGUUGGAGAAUUGGUUGGGGCUGCUCCUAGUACGAGAGGACCGGAGUGGACGCACCACUGGUGUUCCGGUUGUGUCGCCAGACGCAUUGCCGGGUAGCUAAGUGCGGAAGAGAUAAGUGCUGAAAGCAUCUAAGCACGAAACUUGCCAAGAGAUGAGUUCUCCCACACAUCAAGUGUGUAAGGGUUGUUUAAGACUAAGACGUAGAUAGGCAGGGUGUGUAAGUGAUGUGAGUCAUUGAGCUAACCUGUACUAAUUGCCCGAGAGGCUUAACUAUACAACGCUCAAG